This 253-nucleotide ribosomal RNA is filed under the name uncultured bacterium. RNAcentral describes it as "partial 16S ribosomal RNA". It matches the Rfam family "Bacterial small subunit ribosomal RNA", at positions 524 to 776 of the family's 1533-position model. The record is from RNAcentral.
UACAGAGGGUGCGAGCGUUAAUCGGAAUUACUGGGCGUAAAGAGCGCGCAGGCGGUCGUAUAAGUCGCGUGUGAAAGCCCCCGGCUCAACUGGGGAGGGUCACGCGAUACUGUUCGACUCGAAGGCAGGAGAGGGAAGUGGAAUUCCCGGUGUAGUGGUGAAAUGCGUAGAUAUCGGGAGGAACACCAGUGGCGAAGGCGACUUCCUGGCCUGUUCUUGACGCUGAGGCGCGAAAGCUAGGGUAGCAAACGGG